UGCAUCAUGAUUUACAUUUGAGUGAGUGGCGAACUGGUGAGUAACACGUGGGAAACCUGCCCAGAAGCGGGGGAUAACACCUGGAAACAGAUGCUAAUACCGCAUAACAACUUGGACCGCAUGGUCCGAGUUUGAAAGAUGGCUUCGGCUAUCACUUUUGGAUGGUCCCGCGGCGUAUUAGCUAGAUGGUGGGGUAACGGCUCACCAUGGCAAUGAUACGUAGCCGACCUGAGAGGGUAAUCGGCCACAUUGGGACUGAGACACGGCCCAAACUCCUACGGGAGGCAGCAGUAGGGAAUCUUCCACAAUGGACGAAAGUCUGAUGGAGCAACGCCGCGUGAGUGAAGAAGGGUUUCGGCUCGUAAAACUCUGUUGUUAAAGAAGAACAUAUCUGAGAGUAACUGUUCAGGUAUUGACGGUAUUUAACCAGAAAGCCACGGCUAACUACGUGCCAGCAGCCGCGGUAAUACGUAGGUGGCAAGCGUUGUCCGGAUUUAUUGGGCGUAAAGCGAGCGCAGGCGGUUUUUUAAGUCUGAUGUGAAAGCCUUCGGCUCAACCGAAGAAGUGCAUCGGAAACUGGGAAACUUGAGUGCAGAAGAGGACAGUGGAACUCCAUGUGUAGCGGUGAAAUGCGUAGAUAUAUGGAAGAACACCAGUGGCGAAGGCGGCUGUCUGGUCUGUAACUGACGCUGAGGCUCGAAAGUAUGGGUAGCAAACAGGAUUAGAUACCCUGGUAGUCCAUACCGUAAACGAUGAAUGCUAAGUGUUGGAGGGUUUCCGCCCUUCAGUGCUGCAGCUAACGCAUUAAGCAUUCCGCCUGGGGAGUACGGCCGCAAGGCUGAAACUCAAAGGAAUUGACGGGGGCCCGCAAAAG
This 874-nucleotide ribosomal RNA is filed under the name Lactiplantibacillus plantarum. RNAcentral describes it as "bacterial SSU rRNA". It matches the Rfam family "Bacterial small subunit ribosomal RNA", at positions 68 to 929 of the family's 1533-position model. The record is from RNAcentral. Lineage: Bacteria; Bacillati; Bacillota; Bacilli; Lactobacillales; Lactobacillaceae.